This is a long non-coding RNA of Triticum aestivum (bread wheat), 835 nucleotides long. RefSeq lists it as uncharacterized. Lineage: Eukaryota; Viridiplantae; Streptophyta; Magnoliopsida; Poales; Poaceae. The record is from RefSeq and is a predicted model, not a curated record. The transcript has 2 exons.
GGGUUCGACUGCUCUUGUGUUUGUUAUAUCAAAGUUGGUUGCAUGAGUCACUUCACGAUGGUCAUGUGCACCAGGAAAUUAGCUUGAUUUGAAUAUAGUACAAUCAGGCAUAGCUGCUGGCGUAGGUAGCUGCACUAUGCAGUUACCUAAUUGGAACUCACAACUAGUUUCUUCGGUAGUUCCAACAAAUCAGGGAUUCAGUAUAAAGCAAGCAAUUUUUCCUGUUAGCAAACAUUAAUCAGUUUAGUUGCACUUGCAUAUAAGAAUAGGACAAGGACAGUGUUGUAUUUUGGAGUUUAUUAGUCCAUCUAUAGAAAAUGAAUAACACGAUUCAGAUUAAGGAGUGUUUAGUAGUUGUGUGCUCAUGCAAGUACAUGGUUUAGGUGUACGUGAAUCUUUAAGCUGUUCCUUUCUAGGAGAAUUUCUAAGACUGUUUGCCAUUUACCCAAAGGUUUUGAAGCUUUGGGAGCCUGCGACUGGCUCGACAGGUGGCAUCAGCAAGCGCCGGCCGGCCUCGGCACUGCUGUGGGUGGUUAUAUGGUGGGCGGAGCACACCAUUGGGAUUCGACAUCAGGGAACAGAGUAGUCACAAGGAGCUGCAAUGAUACGUGUACAUGUAACAGUUGUCCAAGCUCUGGAACUUUUUCAGAAAUCAUUGCUCAAACUGUAUGGUCAUCCAGAUGAGGAUGUUGCAAAGGCUAACUGGAAAUACAUCUUCGCAGAAACUUUACAGUCAUUCAGAUGUUGAUUUUGCAACCCCUAAUUGGAACUACAAAUGUCUGCAGAUAGGCCAGAACAGUGUCCAUCUCAAGAUCGAUGGGAGAGUGUUGCACUA